CAACAACACAACAACUCUCUCUUCCCACGCAGACGAAAGAAAGAGAAACAAGUGUUUGCGUGUGUCUCUCAGCAAAGCAUUUGCGUGUGUUCCUCCUAACACCACGAGCACGAAUUUGUUCAACAGCCCGACACCAAAGGAAAGCGUUCAGCUAACAGCAGCAGCAGCAAACUCAGCGGCGGCGGCGGCAUCAGCAGCAGCAGCGCAAACAGCAAAAGCGGCGGCGGCGGCAUCAGCAGCAGCAGCAUCAGCAGCAGUAGCAGCAGCGCAGAUAGCAGCUUAUCCUUUUAUCCUAGUAUGAUGGCCGAAUUGGAUUGAUUAACAUAGUUGUAUCUCUCUUUGUCGUCAUUUAGUGGCUUAUUGACAGUGUGUAUGUGUGGUGCGUAAGACGAUUGCUAUCGAAACAGCAACAGAGUAGUAGCCUCAAUGCGAUUUAGGGGUAGUUAAAUGCUUGCACUAAAAGAGGGACCUAAGACGAACAGAAUCAGAAGAAUGAACCGGUGGCUGCGUGUGUGUGUGUGUGAAGAAGAAGCAGCUGUGUUGUAUCCUUCGGACAAAAAAACAAAACACAUCGACUACGAUUUGCAACUCCAUCUCACGUUUAUGAAACGUUCUUACGCUGUAGAAAAAGAAAGCAAGUAACCAACCCACACACGCAUACACACACCGUAUAUGAUAGUCUCACUCGGGUUUUAGUAGCAGAGGGAGUGUCGAGGAAGUGUAUGGUGUCCAAGAUGUCAGUUAACACCGGUUUAAUCAAUGUUUAACAUGAAAACGUUUGUCAGCAAAUUGUCAGUUACAAAACAAAAAUCCACCUUAGAAUGCAAUGCGAAGCGAAUAUUGCAAAACACAGCACCGCAUAUAGUGUAUGGUAAUGAAUGGUAUAAGUGCGUAGUUAAAAACACACAACAAAGCAUAAGAAGAAAGAGAAGAGAAAAGAAACACAAAAGAUAGUAUAAAAAUGCAGUAAGUAACUCAUUAUUGAUAAAAAUAAGAGCUUUUCAACUAAAGAACUACUACUACUACCAAGCUAGUAAGAGAAGAGAGAACGUAUUUAAAAGAAGAAAAAACACACACAAGCAAACAAUACAAUCACACACAAACACACACACACACACUCACAGACUUUCGAGCACACAACAAAACCGUUUAAACAAUUCCAAAACAAAGUUAGGAAUCAACGAACACACUUAGCUCUACUACACACGAUACAAAAAACUCCCAAAAAGAAAGACAUUUUCUUCCUUUCUUCCUUUCUUUCUUUCGUCGUCGUUGUCGUCGUCGUUGUCGCGUUUGUUAGUUGAGAGGUAAACAGCGAAAAAAA
Anopheles arabiensis is the source of this 1324-nucleotide long non-coding RNA. RefSeq lists it as uncharacterized. The transcript is spliced from 2 exons. The record is from RefSeq and is a predicted model, not a curated record. NCBI's taxonomy places the organism in Eukaryota, Metazoa, Arthropoda, Insecta, Diptera, Culicidae.